AAUUCUCAACUCCGAGUAAGAGACUUGUCUGUCUAUCUGGGAGCUUGGACUUGGAGUGUGCUGGCCUGGCUUGUCAUAGGUUGGCUCCUCUCAAAAGCAUUAGCAAGAUGUGUUUAGGGAUUUUUGCAGACUUCAGUGUGAUAGGUGUGUUGCGCUGUUGUCUGGCAAGUGGAAGGGGGAGCAUCUGCUUACAAUUUGUCUUUUGAAAGACCCUUUUGAA
Molecule: unclassified non-coding RNA, 220 nt
Filed under: uncultured Atheliaceae
Lineage: Eukaryota; Fungi; Basidiomycota; Agaricomycetes; Atheliales; Atheliaceae
Description: sequence contains ITS2
Source: RNAcentral